RNAcentral lists this ribosomal RNA (506 nucleotides) under uncultured bacterium. RNAcentral describes it as "partial 16S ribosomal RNA". It matches the Rfam family "Bacterial small subunit ribosomal RNA", at positions 29 to 523 of the family's 1533-position model. The record is from RNAcentral.
AGUGAACGCUGGCGGUAGGCCUAACACAUGCAAGUCGAACGGCAGCACAGAGGAGCUUGCUCCUUGGGUGGCGAGUGGCGGACGGGUGAGGAAUACAUCGGAAUCUUCUCUGUCGUGGGGGAUAACGUAGGGAAACUUACGCUAAUACCGCAUACGACCUACGGGUGAAAGCAGGGGACCUUCGGGCCUUGCGCGAUUGAAUGAGCCGAUGUCGGAUUAGCUAGUUGGCGGGGUAAAGGCCCACCAAGGCGACGAUCCGAAGCUGGUCUGGGAGGAUGAUCAGCCACACGGGAACUGAGACACGGUCCAGACUCCUACGGGAGGCAGCAGUGGGGAAUAUUGGACAAUGGGCGCAAGCCUGAUCCAGCCGUACCGCGUGGGUGAAGAAGGCCUUCGGGUUGUAAAGCCCUUUUGUUGGGAAAGAAAUCCAGCUGGCUAAUACCCGGUUGGGAUGACGGUACCCAAAGAAUAAGCACCGGCUAACUUCGUGCCAGCAGCCGCGGUAA